This is a long non-coding RNA of Poecilia reticulata (guppy), 285 nucleotides long. RefSeq lists it as uncharacterized. The record is from RefSeq and is a predicted model, not a curated record. NCBI's taxonomy places the organism in Eukaryota, Metazoa, Chordata, Actinopteri, Cyprinodontiformes, Poeciliidae.
AAUAAAUAUUGAUAUUUGCUCAUUUAAAAAAUAUUUAGUUUAUAAACUAAAAAAUGUCUUCCAACAGCUUUACCAACAUUUAUAGUGGAUGACCAGGAAGCGUUCAUGAUGCCAGGGUCCUUAAAAAUUCACACGUUUAUGCACUGGCAGAGAAAGGGGAUCUUUUUCCACCAAAUACUGAAGAGAUAAUGGGUGUUCGAGUGCCAAUAAUGCUGCUAGGUGACCCAGCCUACCUCCUUCGAAGAUGGUUGGUGAAAGGACAUGCAGAUACCGGAACUUUAACAA